Molecule: small nucleolar RNA, 100 nt
Organism: Cottoperca gobio
Lineage: Eukaryota; Metazoa; Chordata; Actinopteri; Perciformes; Bovichtidae
Source: Ensembl
AUCUUUCUGGUUCAUGAAUAUGAUGAUUGGUGCUCUCAUGGCUCAUCUGUGAUAGGUGCAGCCCACACUUGUUACGCACUGCGCCUCAGCCCUUCUGAUC